UAGCAAAGCGAUCUUUUCUAUUAAUUUGUAAUUUGUACAAAUAUAUUUUUCUAUUUAUGCAUCGAGAAGCAACGUGCUUCGUAACAGUGCAAUACACGAGAGUAAUUGUUUUCCUAAUUUACACGAUGGUUUGUUGUAUGUACGGAUAUAUUACUAACUUGUGAACAAAAAUAAAUGUAAUGCAUGUAUUGAGAAAACGGUUCUGCGAUACAACCUGUUGCUUGAUUGUUGAGAUUUUGUUUUCUGUACGAGUCACGAUUAAUCUUAAAAAAAAAAAAACUCGAAUUUUAGUUUCUCACGAGAAUGGCUUUGCUGAUUUCUUUUCGCGACUGUUAGAAAGUCUCGAGAGAUUUAUACCACCAUUUUGUUUACGUAGGUAGACAGGCAAAAUUAGUGCGAAAGAAAUGUGGAAACGCGAGGUUUAUAAAUAAUUAUCGACGCUAGAGUUAAUCGAAAGUGAUGUAUCUUGUUUAUCGCUCAACUAGAUGCAUUGAAUUUUAAUAACGAUGUAAAUAUCAUUGAUACAUUAAUUACAUGCUCGUCCGACUCUUAAUUUUUAAUUUCUGCAAAUAAGUAUUAUUUAGCUGUGUUGCAUAUUCGAUGUAAACUGCAUUUAAAAUAGACGCGUUGGGAUUGUUUUCCUUUUCAUCGUACUUAAUGUAUUUCUGACGAAAAUUGUCAAUUUGUUAUCGUCUUCCUAGUCUUAUUUGUUCAAAUGUAAAUUGCAAAUAUUCUCGAUGAUCCACGCAUCGUAAGAUUUCACGAAAAACUUUUCGUGAAUUCUUGUAUAUUCGUUAUGUUCACGUUCGAGGCACGCGAGCUUUUUAAAUUUUUAUUAAACCCCUUGCAGUUCGGAUUUCUUGAUUUCGAGCAAUACGAUACGAAAAUACUAAAUGGACUUUAUUUACUAAGAGACACGUACAUUGGGAGUGUUUCCAUUCGCAUCUGUACAAAGUAAUAGAUAAAUAUAGGAUGUUGAAAAAUGUUGAUCGUAAUGUAUACACUCUUAAACGUAACGUUUCUCGCCCGAUGAACAGUCGUCGGGAUGAACGAGAGGAAACUAGUUUAAUGGGUACGAAUUUUAUAUGCGGAGAAUCGAGUUUACUGUGUCAGUGUUCUGUAUAACGUCUUUAAUAAAAAAUAACGUGAAGGAAGUGCUAUAAUUAAAGUUAUUUCCGGAUCGAGGCAGGACCUGGUUCACGUAUGAUAUCCGCCUUUUUAGAUUUUUAUUUAUGUAGCAAUUUUGUCAAUGAAAAUAAAGUUUUAUUUAAAAACGAUA
Long non-coding RNA from Hylaeus anthracinus, 1279 nucleotides. RefSeq lists it as uncharacterized. NCBI's taxonomy places the organism in Eukaryota, Metazoa, Arthropoda, Insecta, Hymenoptera, Colletidae. The transcript has 2 exons. The record is from RefSeq and is a predicted model, not a curated record.